ACUUAAAUUGAAGAGUUUGAUCAUGGCUCAGAUUGAACGCUGGCGGCAGGCCUAACACAUGCAAGUCGAGCGGUAGCACAGAGAGCUUGCUCUCGGGUGACGAGCGGCGGACGGGUGAGUAAUGUCUGGGAAACUGCCUGAUGGAGGGGGAUAACUACUGGAAACGGUAGCUAAUACCGCAUAACGUCGCAAGACCAAAGUGGGGGACCUUCGGGCCUCAUGCCAUCAGAUUGAACGCUGGCGGCAGGCCUAACACAUGCAAGUCGAGCGGUAGCACAGAGAGCUUGCUCUCGGGUGACGAGCGGCGGACGGGUGAGUAAUGUCUGGGAAACUGCCUGAUGGAGGGGGAUAACUACUGGAAACGGUAGCUAAUACCGCAUAACGUCGCAAGA
RNAcentral lists this ribosomal RNA (392 nucleotides) under Klebsiella pneumoniae. RNAcentral describes it as "bacterial SSU rRNA". It matches the Rfam family "Bacterial small subunit ribosomal RNA", at positions 1 to 315 of the family's 1533-position model. The record is from RNAcentral. Lineage: Bacteria; Pseudomonadati; Pseudomonadota; Gammaproteobacteria; Enterobacterales; Enterobacteriaceae.